GACCGCGGGAGCGCGCAUUGCGUCACCGAGCGCGUGCAUGCGGAUGGUCUCCAUCAUCAGAGGGGAUUAGUAGUUUUCCGUUAUUGACGGUUUAAUGAGCUUUACAUCGGCGACAAAACUCGGAGAUUAACUGUGUGAUUAUCUGAGAAAUUCCGGUGGAGUCUGUCUGAGUUCAUCCGAGCUCGAGUCUGACGUGAUGUCAGUGCAGUGAUGGCUCCGCCCCAAAGGAGGCGUUCCUUUGGCCCCGUCUCACCCAAAUACAUCUACAGGAGCCUGUCACUUAAAUUGAGGGGCGGGGCUUCCCAAUGUGAGGCGGAGCAUACUGAUUGGAGGAGGAGGCUGAGUAAAGGACAAGCUGAUUUCUGGAGUCUGUGGGAUGCACUGGAGAAUGAAGACACACUCGGCGUCCAGCAUCUGCUGUCCAGAGAACAAGCGACGGACACACACACACACCGACGAGUGAACCGGGUGACUGAACUUGGCCUGGUGCCGCUGGAUGUGGCUCUUCUUACCCAGAAUGCCUCACUGCUGAAGGUGCUGCUGAAGGCCGGAGCCAAACACAACCCUACCUUGAUCUCGGCCUCUGAUUGGUCGCUGAAGCUGGAUGAGCUGGUGUCAUUGGCUGAGCAGAAGCUGGAGGAGUGGAGGGCGGAGCUUGAGGUCAGAGAGAAGGCGGAGCUUCAGGUGAGAGUGAGGGCGGAGCUUCAGACACACACAGACGCACAGAAGAACGUGGAGCAGUGGAGACGCCGCCGAGAGCUUUACCAGAACAUGAGGGAGAGAUUCAACAGGACGAGUAUGAACACACACACACACGUACACUGAAACAUUUAAAACAAACACACACUCACUAAAACAUUUAAAACAAGCACACACACACACUCACUGAAACUUUUAAAACAAACACACACUGAAACAUUUAAAACAAACACACACACACACACACACACACACACUGAAACAUUUAAAACAAACACACACACACACACGCACUGAAACAUUUAAAACAAACACAUACAUACACACACACACACACUGAAACAUUUAAAACACACACACACACACACACACUCACUGAAACAUUUAAAACAAACACACACAUACACACACACACACACUGAAACAUUUAAAACAAACACACACAUACACACACACACACUGAAACAUUUAAAACACACACACACACACACACACACACACACAC
This 1204-nucleotide long non-coding RNA is filed under the name Danio rerio (zebrafish). RNAcentral's name for it is "lncRNA (ENSDARG00000117446.1)". Lineage: Eukaryota; Metazoa; Chordata; Actinopteri; Cypriniformes; Danionidae. The record is from RNAcentral.